RNAcentral lists this ribosomal RNA (403 nucleotides) under bacterium. RNAcentral describes it as "partial 16S ribosomal RNA". It matches the Rfam family "Bacterial small subunit ribosomal RNA", at positions 355 to 776 of the family's 1533-position model. The record is from RNAcentral.
UGGGGAAUAUUGCACAAUGGAGGGAACUCUGAUGCAGCGACGCCGCGUGAACGAAGAAGGCUUUCGAGUCGUAAAGUUCUUUUAUAUGGGAAGAUAAUGACGGUACCAUAAGAAAAAGCCCCGGCUAACUACGUGCAAGCAGCCGCGGUAAUACGUAGGGGGCUAGCGUUGUCCGGAAUCACUGGGCGUAAAGGGUUCGCAGGCGGAAAUGCAAGUCAGGUGUAAAAGGCAGUAGCUUAACUACUGUAAGCAUUUGAAACUGCAUAUCUUGAGAAGAGUAGGGGUAAGUGGAAUUUUUAGUGUAGCGGUGAAAUGCGUAGAUAUUAAAAAGAAUACCGGUGGCGAAGGCGGCUUACUGGGCUCAUUCUGACGCUGAGGAACGAAAGCGUGGGUAGCAAGCAGG